AAGUCGUAACAAGGUCUCCGUUGGUGAACCAGCGGAGGGAUCAUUACAAGAGUUGCAAAGCUCCAGACCAUUGUGAACCUACCCCCCAUCGUUGCUUCGGCGGGCGGCCCCGGCCCAAGCUCGGGGCCGUUCAGGCCCGUACGGGCGCCCGCCGGAGGUAUAUAACCAUUGACCUUUCGUACGGCCUCUCUGAGUCUCUAGUACCUGAAUGGGGUCAAAACUUUCAACAACGGAUCUCUUGGUUCUG
RNAcentral lists this unclassified non-coding RNA (247 nucleotides) under fungal sp. Its description in RNAcentral is "partial internal transcribed spacer region". The stretch from base 1 to 46 matches the Rfam family "Eukaryotic small subunit ribosomal RNA", at positions 1786 to 1831 of the family's 1831-position model. The record is from RNAcentral. Lineage: Eukaryota; Fungi.